Molecule: ribosomal RNA, 583 nt
Filed under: Cladocroce sp. UPDM SZN-HL117
Lineage: Eukaryota; Metazoa; Porifera; Demospongiae; Haplosclerida; Chalinidae
Description: partial large subunit ribosomal RNA
Rfam family: Eukaryotic large subunit ribosomal RNA (bases 3-519)
Source: RNAcentral
GAUUGAAAAGAGCUUUGGAGAGAGAGUUCAAUAGACCGUGAAACCGUUGGGAGGGAAGCUCAGGGUGUCGAGGUUGUCGUGCUCUGUUUGGGUUCAACUGGUGGUAGUUGGGUUGCCAGCUGCUGCCGGUGCACUCUCAUGCAGAGUUGGACCGUCAGUUGGGAAGACAUCGGGACCUGCAAUGAUCGAUGGAUGGGAGGUAAGCUUUGUGGUUCCCUCGGGUGCCCAGAGUGACGUAUAGCCGUUCCGUCGUGGUUCUGAUUGUCUUUCAGGUGUGUUUGGAUGACUGAUCGUCCAAAAUUGGAAGGUGCAGUCUCCCUCUCAUGGGAGGUCGAGCCGUUCUUGAGGUUGCGCCUCAAUGUGGUCACGUGUUCCGUUCCCUCCCCACUAUACUUCGGUGUGUGGGGCUAGGGUGCGGCACGAGCUGCAUUGAGUGUGUCCCAUCAGGAUCGUGUUCCAAGUUCUGUGCCUAGGUGACUGGCGAAGAGUCGUUACUCUGUGCCCCGUCUUGAAACACGGAAAUCGAAUGUGAGCGCGCGCCAUGGCGGCCGUCAGCAUGCGACGUCAGCUCCCAAUCGGCCUA